GAAAGCCGAGGAGCAUCCCGUUCAUUAGAGAUAAGGCAAUGUCCUUUGUAAGCUUUGUUGCUUAAGAACAAGCAACGGUCAAAGUUUGAGGGAGUAUGAUAAGUGGUUUUUAUAUCGUUUUUAUAAUUGUUUUUCCUUUAUAUUUUACCGUUUUCAUCCGUUUUCCUUUCAAUUUACCAUGUUUUACGCUUUGGUAUUGCAUUUCCUUUAUUUUCAGGUCACAAUAGGCAUUCCAAGC
Molecule: long non-coding RNA, 238 nt
Filed under: Lathyrus oleraceus (garden pea)
Lineage: Eukaryota; Viridiplantae; Streptophyta; Magnoliopsida; Fabales; Fabaceae
Description: Pisum sativum (pea) long non-coding RNA (PSAT_LNC010213)
Source: RNAcentral